UGCGUAACACGUAUGUAAUCUGCCUAUAACUGGGGGAUAGCCCGAAGAAAUUCGGAUUAAUACCCCAUAGUAAUGAGGAGUGGCAUCACUUUUCAUUUAAAGCUCCGGCGGUUAUAGAUGAACAUGCGACUGAUUAGUUUGUUGGUGAGGUAACGGCUCACCAAGACUACGAUCAGUAGGGGUACUGAGAGGUUAAACCCCCACACUGGUACUGAGACACGGACCAG
This 227-nucleotide ribosomal RNA is filed under the name uncultured bacterium. Its description in RNAcentral is "partial 16S ribosomal RNA". It matches the Rfam family "Bacterial small subunit ribosomal RNA", at positions 107 to 334 of the family's 1533-position model. The record is from RNAcentral.